RNAcentral lists this ribosomal RNA (207 nucleotides) under uncultured bacterium. RNAcentral's name for it is "partial 16S ribosomal RNA". It matches the Rfam family "Bacterial small subunit ribosomal RNA", at positions 568 to 774 of the family's 1533-position model. The record is from RNAcentral.
UGUGUAGGUGGUUGAAUCAGUUCACUGUGAAAGUUCCGGGCUUAACCUGGAAAGGCCGGUGGAUACUGUUUAACUAGAGGACAGGAGAGGGCAGAGGAAUUUCCGGUGUAGCGGUGAAAUGCGUAGAUAUCGGAAGGAACACCAGUAGCGAAGGCGUCUGUCUGGCCUGGCCCUGACACUGAGACACGAAGGCGUGGGUAGCGAACA